CUCACAGCUGCCCUUCUUCUCUCUCUUAGAAGGAAGAGGAAGAGGGGGAAUCAAACAUAGCAUUUUGAUUACCAUCAAACAGAAGUCUCCACAGAGAGGAGGCUAUCUUCAGAUUUUACAUAGAGUUGUUACAUAAGACACCUCCCUCUCAUUUCCAGAGAUGAUUUUAAACUAUGACGAAUUGAUUUAAAGUUUAAAUGCUGUGGACAGGCUACUAUGUUUAAUGCAGUCAUGGGCCUUUGACUUUGUAACUGUUUUGUGAGAUUUACAUAAACUCUGGUGCUUAGAUGCCUCAUCUUUAGUACGGACUGUCUGACCAAGCACAAUGGACACAAACAGGAAUGAAAUGGACAUGUGGAGCUCAGAGGACAGCAUUUUGACUGAGACACAGUUUAAACCUGUGGAAAAUGAAAUCAAGAGCUGAAAUAUGUAUCUGGUGGUCUUAUGGAAAAACUAUCUGCAACUAAUGAAGCUAAUUUUAAAGAGAUGAAUUAUUCCUUGAAUCUGCAAGGACAUUUUAUUAUGUUCAAGACCAUUUGAAAUAUGAUGAAGAUUUUCCAUUGCUUUUACAAUAUAUUUUACCAUUCUACU
Molecule: long non-coding RNA, 591 nt
Filed under: Mus pahari (shrew mouse)
Lineage: Eukaryota; Metazoa; Chordata; Mammalia; Rodentia; Muridae
Description: lncRNA (MGP_PahariEiJ_G0003317.1)
Source: RNAcentral